Transfer RNA from Culex pipiens (northern house mosquito), 74 nucleotides. It matches the Rfam family "tRNA". Rfam says of the family: Transfer RNA (tRNA) molecules are approximately 80 nucleotides in length. Lineage: Eukaryota; Metazoa; Arthropoda; Insecta; Diptera; Culicidae. The record is from Rfam.
GCCCGUGUGGACCAAUCGGACCGCGCACUGGACCCACAAUCCAGAGGUUGCUGGUUCGAAUCCCGCGGCGGGCG